This 253-nucleotide ribosomal RNA is filed under the name uncultured bacterium. Its description in RNAcentral is "partial 16S ribosomal RNA". It matches the Rfam family "Bacterial small subunit ribosomal RNA", at positions 524 to 776 of the family's 1533-position model. The record is from RNAcentral.
UACGAAGGGGGCUAGCGUUGUUCGGAUUUACUGGGCGUAAAGCGCACGUAGGCGGAUUCUUAAGUCGGUGGUGAAAUCCUGGAGCUCAACUCCAGAACUGCCUUCGAUACUGGGAAUCUUGAGUUCGGGAGAGGUGAGUGGAACUGCGAGUGUAGAGGUGAAAUUCGUAGAUAUUCGCAAGAACACCAGUGGCGAAGGCGGCUCACUGGCCCGAUACUGACGCUGAGGCACGAAAGCGUGGGGAGCAAACAGG